GGGCAUUGCCCUAGUAACGGCGAGUGAAGCGGCAACAGCUCAAAUUUGAAAUCUGGCUCUUUUAGAGUCCGAGUUGUAAUUUGCAGAGGGCGCUUUGGCUUUGGCAGCGGUCCAAGUUCCUUGGAACAGGACGUCACAGAGGGUGAGAAUCCCGUACGUGGUCGCUGGCUAUUGCCGUGUAAAGCCCCUUCGACGAGUCGAGUUGUUUGGGAAUGCAGCUCUAAAUGGGAGGUACAUUUCUUCUAAAGCUAAAUAUUGGCCAGAGACCGAUAGCGCACAAGUAGAGUGAUCGAAAGAUGAAAAGCACUUUGGAAAGAGAGUCAAACAGCACGUGAAAUUGUUGAAAGGGAAGCGCUUGCAGCCAGACUUGCUUACAGUUGCUCAUCCGGGCUUUUGCCCGGUGCACUCUUCUGUAGGCAGGCCAGCAUCAGUUUGGGCGGUAGGAUAAAGGUCUCUGUCACGUACCUCUCUUCGGGGAGGCCUUAUAGGGGAGACGACAUACUACCAGCCUGGACUGAGGUCCGCGCAUCUGCUAGGAUGCUGGCGUAAUGGCUGUAAGCGGCCC
This 565-nucleotide ribosomal RNA is filed under the name Alternaria sp. RNAcentral describes it as "LSU rRNA". It matches the Rfam family "Eukaryotic large subunit ribosomal RNA", at positions 70 to 650 of the family's 3401-position model. The record is from RNAcentral. Lineage: Eukaryota; Fungi; Ascomycota; Dothideomycetes; Pleosporales; Pleosporaceae.